Non-coding RNA from Cinara cedri, 271 nucleotides. The record is from the annotation of a GenBank genome assembly. Lineage: Eukaryota; Metazoa; Arthropoda; Insecta; Hemiptera; Aphididae.
UCGAUCUCGUUGAGAAAUCCAACAACAGACAAUAUGGUCGAAACACUGUCUAUGUACGUUCAUCUACGAUAACGGAACGGUAACACAUUCAAAACGAUCAGGAAAUCAGGGACGGCGCGAACGCAGUCCCAGCUAACAAAAAUUAUACGUCCGAGAUAUCCACAUUAGGGAUACUCGCAGGGGUCAACCCAAUCUGUAUGUGCAAUGAUCAGAUCUCGCCUUGGAGGAACCGCCUAAAUGAUCACGGUUUACCUCCACGCCAGGUAAGUAU